AUUUGUUUUUUAUUGUUUUUUAUAUCGUUUUUUAGAGGUAUAAUUAGUUUAGUAGUGUUAACGAAACUUGAAAUGGACAAUAGUGUAUAAGUACUGUGAAGGAAAUAUGAAAUAAUUGAAAAUUUGACAAUAUAAAAGUACUGAUUUAGUUAGGUACCUUUUGUAUCAGUGGUUAUUAAAAUUGUAGUUUGAAUAUAAAGUCUCGAAAAUAAAAGAGCUAUAUAACUUUGUUAGUUUUUGUGGCAACAAAAUUUAAAAAACUUAUAUAGGAGUAAAAUAUUAAUCGAUUUUAUUAAUAUCUAGUAACUUUCUUAGUAAAUUUAGUUUAUGAUACUUUAGAAUUGGUUCUAUUAUUGGAUUAAUUUUUUUGUAUUCUUAGUCUUUAGGGGAUGAGCUCUAAAGAUAAAAUAUAAAAUUUUAUGGUUUUUGUUUUUUUAUAGGCUUAGAAUUAGCCAUUAGAUAGUGUUAUAAAAUAAAAUUUUAAGUUUAGGAUUUGGAAUUUUUUAUUUGUGUAGGAAGUUAAUGCAGAAACUUGAUUAUGUGUGAAAUGAUGAUAGUAUAAGUAGACAAAAAUUUUUUGGGGUUGUUCUGAAAAUCCCUAAUGACUUGUGUUCAGUAAGUGUAGUAAAAGAACUCGGCAAUGUAGAUUUCCGAAUGUUUAACAAAAACAUUUCUUCUCAGAAUGGGAAGUAAGGCCUGCUCACUGAAAUUUGAAGAGCCGCAGUAUUCUGACUGUGCUAAGGUAGCAUAAUCAUUAGUCUUUUAAUUGAAGACUGGUAUGAAUGGCUAAACGAGAAAUCAACUUUUUUUACUAUAACACUCUAAUUUAUUUUUUUAGUGAAAAAACUAAAAUUGUCCUAGAAGACGAGAAGACCCUAUAGAGUUUUAUAUAGUUGUAAACUUCACUGUAGUAGAUUUUUAUUAGUGGGGUUCAAAUCUAUAAUUAGUUGGGGCGACGUAAAGAUAAGAUAAACUCUUUUUUUUGAAAAUUUCUAUAGAAGAAAUGGUUUGAUCCUCUAUAAGAGAUCAAAAGAAAAAAUUACCUUAGGGAUAACAGCGUAAUCUUUUUUGAGAGUUCUAAUCGACAAGAAGGUUUGCGACCUCGAUGUUGGACUAAAAUUUAGAUGAGGCGCAGCAGCUUCAUUUUAGGGUCUGUUCGACCCAUAACAUUUUACAUGAUCUGAGUUCAGACCGGCGUGAGCCAGGUUGGUUUCUAUCUUUUGGAGAUGAAAAAUUGGUUUAGUACGAAAGGAUUAACCAGUUAUAAAUUUUAUGUUUAAGGAGUAUUGGUAAUUUAAGUUAA
RNAcentral lists this ribosomal RNA (1303 nucleotides) under Octomeris sp. BKKC-2014. Its description in RNAcentral is "16S ribosomal RNA". The stretch from base 582 to 1303 matches the Rfam family "Archaeal large subunit ribosomal RNA", at positions 1423 to 2834 of the family's 2987-position model. Lineage: Eukaryota; Metazoa; Arthropoda; Thecostraca; Balanomorpha; Chthamalidae. The record is from RNAcentral.